UUGCAGCAGGCGCGUAAUUUUUCUCAAGUACGGGGGAAACCCUGAAGGAGCGACGCCGCGUGGAGGAUGAAGGUCUUCGGGUUGUAAACUCCUGUCAUUUGGGAACAAGGUGUGCGCGUUAACUGCGCGCGCAUUGAUAGUACCAGAAGAGGAAGAGACGGCUAACUCUGUGCCAGCAGCCGCGGUAAUACAGAGGUCUCAAGCGUUGUUCGGAUUCAUUGGGCGUAAAGGGUGCGUAGGCGGCGCGGUAAGUCGGGUGUGAAAUUUCGAGGCUUAACUUCGAAACUGCAUUCGAUACUGCCGUGCUUGAGGACUGGAGAGGAGACUGGAAUUUACGGUGUAGCGGUGAAAUGCGUAGAUAUCGUAAGGAAGACCAGUGGCGAAGGCGGGUCUCUGGACAGGUUCCUGACGCUGAGGCACGAA
RNAcentral lists this ribosomal RNA (423 nucleotides) under uncultured organism. RNAcentral's name for it is "bacterial SSU rRNA". It matches the Rfam family "Bacterial small subunit ribosomal RNA", at positions 346 to 757 of the family's 1533-position model. The record is from RNAcentral.